CCGUGACAGGCUCGGAGGGAGAGAAGGGAUACACCCCCUACUGAUCCGGGACCGGAGGAGCGAGUCCAGUCGCAACAAACUGCUGAGACGCACAGUCUC
Molecule: small RNA, 99 nt
Filed under: Pongo abelii (Sumatran orangutan)
Lineage: Eukaryota; Metazoa; Chordata; Mammalia; Primates; Hominidae
Description: processed transcript
Source: RNAcentral